CCACCACUGCUAUUCCACAGGUAC
RNAcentral lists this non-coding RNA (24 nucleotides) under Arabidopsis thaliana (thale cress). Lineage: Eukaryota; Viridiplantae; Streptophyta; Magnoliopsida; Brassicales; Brassicaceae. The record is from RNAcentral.